GAGUUUGAUCAUGGCUCAGGAUGAACGCUAGCGACAGGCUUAACACNUGUCAAGGUCGAGGGGCAGCGGGGGCGUAGCAAUAUGCCUGCCGGCGACCGGCGCACGGGUGAGUAACACGUAUGUAACCUGCCCUAUGCAGGGGGAUAACCCGGAGAAAUCCGGCCUAAUACCGCGUAACACCUUUUGGGAGCAUUCCCGGGAGGUUAAAGGAGAGAUCCGGCAUAGGAUGGACAUGCGUCGCAUUAGGUAGACGGCGGGGUAACGGCCCACCGUGCCGACGAUGCGUAGGGGUUCUGAGAGGAAGGCCCCCCACACUGGUACUGAGACACGGACCAGACUCCUACGGGAGGCAGCAGUGAGGAAUAUUGGUCAAUGGCCGAGAGGCUGAACCAGCCAAGUCGCGUGAGGGAAGAAUGUCCUAAGGAUUGUAAACCUCUUUUGUCGGGGAGCAAAAAGGCUCUGCGGAGUCGUAUUGAGAGUACCCGAAGAAAAAGNCNUCGGCUNAANUCCGUGCNAGNANNCCGCGGUUAAUACGGGAGGAAUGCNAAGCGUUAUCCGGAAUUUAUUUGGGUUUAAAGGGUUGCGCAGGCGGGCGUNUCAAGCNAAGCGGUAAAAAUAGCGGGGCUCAACCCCCGUCGNAGCCCGUUUUGAAACUGGCGCGCUUGAGUUCAGGCGAGGUAGGCGGAAUUUCGUGGUGUAGCGGUGAAAUGCAUAGAUAUCACGAAGAACUCCGAUUGCGAAAGGCAGCUUACCAGUCUGCGACUGACGCUCAGGCACGAAAGUGUGGGUAUCGAACAGGAUUAGAUACCCUGGUAGUCCACACAGUAAACGAUGAGCGCUAGGUGUCCGGGUCGCAUGAGACUUGGGUGCCCGAGCGAAAGCGUUAAGCGCUCCACCUGGGGAGUACGCCGGCAACGGUGAAACUCAAAGGAAUUGACGGGGGCCCCGCACAAGCGGANGAACAUGUGGNUUUAAUUCGAUGANUACGCGAGGGAACCUUACCCGGGCUCAAACGACUCAGGAAUAUAUUGGAAACGAUGUAGCCAGCAAUGGUCUGAGUCGAGGUGCUGCAUGGUUGUCGUCAGCUCGUGCCGUGAGGUGUCGGCUUAAGUGCCAUAACGAGCGCAACCCCUACCGCCAGUUGCCAACGGGUAAAGCCGGGAACUCUGGCGGGACUGCCGGCGCAAGCUGCGAGGAAGGCGGGGAUGACGUCAAAUCAGCACGGCCCUUACGUCCGGGGCGACACACGUGUUACAAUGGCAGGUACAGCGGGAAGCCACCUGGUGACAGGGAGCGGAACCCGAAAGCCUGUCUCAGUUCGGAUUGGAGUCUGCAACUCGACUCCAUGAAGCUGGAUUCGCUAGUAAUCGCGCAUCAGCCAUGGCGCGGUGAAUACGUUCCCGGGCCUUGUACACACCGCCCGUCAAGCCAUGGGAGCCGGGGGUGCCUGAAGUACGUGACCGCGAGGAGCGUCCUAGGGCAAAACUGGUGACUGGGGCUAAGUCGUAAACAAGGUA
This 1517-nucleotide ribosomal RNA is filed under the name uncultured bacterium. RNAcentral describes it as "16S ribosomal RNA". It matches the Rfam family "Bacterial small subunit ribosomal RNA". The record is from RNAcentral.